RNAcentral lists this ribosomal RNA (550 nucleotides) under Branchiostoma japonicum (Japanese lancelet). Its description in RNAcentral is "partial 16S ribosomal RNA". It matches the Rfam family "Bacterial large subunit ribosomal RNA", at positions 1829 to 2596 of the family's 2925-position model. Lineage: Eukaryota; Metazoa; Chordata; Leptocardii; Amphioxiformes; Branchiostomatidae. The record is from RNAcentral.
CGCCUUCAGAUUCAAUAUUGGAGGUCUGGUCUGCCCAGUGUAAUUAAUUAACGGCCGCGGUAUUCUGACUGUGCAAAGGUAGCAUAAUCACUUGCCCUUUAAAUGGGGGAAUGUAUGAAUGAUUAGACGAGGUUUUUACUGUCUCUUCCUUAUAAAUUGAGAUUACAAUACUUGUGAAAAUGCAGGUAAGGUAAUAAAGGACGAGAAGACCCUGUUGAGCUUUUAAGCUAAACUAUAGUACAGGUUAAGUUAAGUAAUAGUUUACAAUUAAAACGAGUAAUUUUUUGUAGGCUUUUUGGCUGGGGUGGCAAGCAAAGAUAUUAAGCUUUGUUGUAGUAUACAUUUUGUAUUUCUAGAUAAUAUAUAUCUAUAAAUAAUUAAAUUGAUCCGUUAAAAUAGAACGAUUAAAAGAAUAAGUUACCACAGGGAUAACAGCGUAAUUCUUUUUGAGAGCUCGAAUUGACAAAGGAGUUUGCGACCUCGAUGUUGGAUCAAGAUUCCUAGCGGUGUAGCAGCUGUUACGGGUUUGCCUGUUCGGCGAUUAAUAUCU